This 460-nucleotide ribosomal RNA is filed under the name uncultured bacterium. RNAcentral describes it as "partial 16S ribosomal RNA". It matches the Rfam family "Bacterial small subunit ribosomal RNA", at positions 338 to 795 of the family's 1533-position model. The record is from RNAcentral.
CCUACGGGCGACUGCAGUGGGGAAUAUUGGUCAAUGGGCGCACGCCUGAACCAGCCAAGUCGCGUGAGGGAUGACGGUCCUAUGGAUUGUAAACCUCUUUUGUCGGGGAGCAAGGCCCGCCACGUGUGGCGGGAAGGCGAGUACCCGAAGAAAAAGCAUCGGCUAACUCCGUGCCAGCAGCCGCGGUAAUACGCAGGAUGCGAGCGUUAUCCGGAUUUAUUGGGUUUAAAGGGUGCUGAGGCGGAAGGUUAAGUCAGCGGUAAAAUGUCGGUGCUCAACACCGGCCUGCCGUUGAAACUGGUCUUCUUGAGUGAGCGAGAAGUAUGCGGAAUGCGUGGUGUAGCGGUGAAAUGCAUAGAUAUCACGCAGAACUCCGAUUGCGAAGGCAGCAUACCGGCGCUCAACUGACGCUGAGGCACGAAAGCGUGGGGAUCGAACAGGAUUAGAUACCCUAGUAGUC